GGAUCCGCACAAGCAGCGGAGCAUGCGGAUUAAUUCGAUGCAACGCGAAGAACCUUACCAAGGCUUGACAUAUAUGGGACAGUUUCUAGAGAUAGUUACCUUCUUCGGACUCAUAUACAGGUGGUGCAUGGUUGUCGUCAGCUCGUGUUGUGAAAUGUUGGGUUAAGUCCCGCAACGAGCGCAACCCUUGUUCUGUGUUACUAACAUUUAGUUGAGGACUCACAGGAGACUGCCGGGGUCAACUCGGAGGAAGGUGGGGAUGACGUCAAAUCAUCAUGCCCCUUACGUCUUGGGCUUCACGCAUGCUACAAUGGCUGGUACAGAGCGUCGCAAUACCCGCAAGGUGGAGCUAAUCGCAAAAAGCCAGUCUCAGUUCGGAUUGGGGUCUGCAACUCGACCCCAUGAAGUUGGAGUUGCUAGUAAUCGUAGAUCAGCAACGCUA
Molecule: ribosomal RNA, 442 nt
Filed under: uncultured Actinomycetes bacterium
Lineage: Bacteria; Bacillati; Actinomycetota; Actinomycetes
Description: bacterial SSU rRNA
Rfam family: Bacterial small subunit ribosomal RNA
Source: RNAcentral